This 492-nucleotide ribosomal RNA is filed under the name uncultured bacterium. RNAcentral's name for it is "partial 16S ribosomal RNA". It matches the Rfam family "Bacterial small subunit ribosomal RNA", at positions 899 to 1397 of the family's 1533-position model. The record is from RNAcentral.
ACUCAAAUGAAUUGACGGGGACCCGCACAACCUGUGGAGCGUGUGGUUCAAUUCGAGACAAAACGAAGGACCUCACCAGGGUUUGACAUGCUAGAGUUCCAUCUCCAAGAAACUGGAGAAAGUCGCAAGAGGCUAGCACAGGUGCUGCAUGGUUGUCGUCAGCUCGUGCCGUGAGGUGUUCCCUUAAGUGGGGAAACGAGCGCAACCCCCAUCUAAUGUUAUAUUAUUCAUUGGAAACUGACCUUGUUUUAAGCAAGGAAGGAAGGAGGGGAAGACGUCAAAUCAGCAUGGCCUUUAUACCCUGGGCCACACACACACUACAAUGGCGAAAAACAAUGGGCUGCCAUCACGCAAGUGAGAGCUAAUCCCUGAAAUUUCGCCUCAGUUCAGAUUGGAGUCUGCAACUCGACUCCAUGAAGCCGGAAUAGGUAGUAAUCGCGGAUCAGCAAUGCCGCGGUGAAUACGUUCUCGGGUCUUGUACACACCGCCCGU